GUCCACUUUUCCUUGUACGAGGCGCCGACCCACAAGGAGGCCACGCUUCCGUCCUCUUGCGGCGUCAACUGUUUGCCGCUGAUGGGCGACACCAGUGUGAUCAACUGCGACAGAGGCUGGGCCGACGGCGUCGGCGACAGCGAGGGCGUCACCGACGGCGUGGGCGACCUCGACGGCGAACGCGUGGGUGUCGCCGACGGGGCCGCCGGGUGGUCGUAUUCAAUGAUCACGCCGCCAGACGCACCGGGCGAGUCGGCAGAGUGUUUGCCGGCGAGAUCGCCGCCGAUGCACAGAAUGGCCGAGCCACCGCCCGAGCCACUGUUGGCCGCCGGAUACGUGGGUGUACUGAUCUGACCCGGACCGCCGUUGCCAUUCAGGCCGGCGGCGCCGCCCCAUGCAAAACACCCAUCGAUGCUGUAGCCAUUGCCGCCCACCCACGAGCGACCGGGCGAGGUCCAAUUGGCACCGCGCACAAACGGCGCCGUGAAAUCGCCGCCGACAAAGCCAUAACCGGCACCGGCACCGCCCGCCUUGACGUCGUCGACCAUAGCGCCCUCGGUGGACGGACCCACGGGGUUGUUGUCGACGCCACCCGGUGGGACGCCGCCGCCAGGCGUGGGACCGGCAGCCUGGGAAUCUUGUCCGCCGCCGGCGCCCCCUUGGCAGGCGCGCGUCUGGCCCGUUCCACUGGCCUUGGCACCGCCGCCGCCAUAGGCCACGGCACGGAACAAUUCGGUGCCGUUGGGCGCCGUCGCCACCACAAGUGUGUUGCCGCCAUUGCCGCCCGUGCCGCCAUAGAUGGUCGUUGUGGGAUUGUUGGCCAAACCGGCGCCGCCUGCGCCGACGGUCACAUUCCACUGCACGCUGCUCGCCGCCAGGCCCCAGGCGUCGCUGCCCGUGGCGCGGCCGAUGAUGGCGGCGCCGCUGCCGCCGCUGGCGCCACAGUACAUCGAGGUCGCACCGCCGCCACCGCCGCCCCACAGCGUGAGGGUGACAUUGGUGGCUCCGACCGGCGCCGACCAUGUCUGCGUCGUGCCCACCAAAAUGGUAUAGUGGUAGGCGUCGGUCGUGACUGCCGCCAUCAGGAGGAACCAUGCGACAAAGAGCGCCAUUGCGCGUACGUGCCCUUUCGCCAUCUUUUUUUUUCUAGAGGAAAAAAAGAAAGAAAAGCGGUUGCCUUGGUGUCGGC
RNAcentral lists this long non-coding RNA (1189 nucleotides) under Pandoravirus quercus. Its description in RNAcentral is "hypothetical ncRNA". The record is from RNAcentral.